AGAGUUUGAUCCUGGCUCAGAUUGAACGCUGGCGGAAUGCUUUACACAUGCAAGUCGAACGGCAGCACGGGGGCAACCCUGGUGGCGAGUGGCGAACGGGUGAGUAAUACAUCGGAACGUGCCCAGUUGUGGGGGAUAACGUAGCGAAAGCUACGCUAAUACCGCAUACGAACUGAGGUUGAAAGCGGGGGAUCGCAAGACCUCGCGCGAUUGGAGCGGCCGAUGGCAGAUUAGGUAGUUGGUGGGGUAAAGGCUCACCAAGCCGACGAUCUGUAGCUGGUCUGAGAGGACGACCAGCCACACUGGGACUGAGACACGGCCCAGACUCCUACGGGAGGCAGCAGUGGGGAAUUUUGGACAAUGGGCGCAAGCCUGAUCCAGCCAUUCCGCGUGCAGGAUGAAGGCCCUCGGGUUGUAAACUGCUUUUGUACGGAACGAAAAGGCCUGAGUUAAUACCUCGGGCUCAUGACGGUACCGUAAGAAUAAGCACCGGCUAACUACGUGCCAGCAGCCGCGGUAAUACGUAGGGUGCGAGCGUUAAUCGGAAUUACUGGGCGUAAAGCGUGCGCAGGCGGUGAUGUAAGACAGGUGUGAAAUCCCCGGGCUUAACCUGGGAACUGCAUUUGUGACUGCAUCGCUGGAGUGCGGCAGAGGGGGAUGGAAUUCCGCGUGUAGCAGUGAAAUGCGUAGAUAUGCGGAGGAACACCGAUGGCGAAGGCAAUCCCCUGGGCCUGCACUGACGCUCAUGCACGAAAGCGUGGGGAGCAAACAGGAUUAGAUACCCUGGUAGUCCACGCCCUAAACGAUGUCAACUGGUUGUUGGGUCUUCACUGACUCAGUAACGAAGCUAACGCGUGAAGUUGACCGCCUGGGGAGUACGGCCGCAAGGUUGAAACUUAAAGGAAUUGACGG
Molecule: ribosomal RNA, 912 nt
Filed under: uncultured Comamonadaceae bacterium
Lineage: Bacteria; Pseudomonadati; Pseudomonadota; Betaproteobacteria; Burkholderiales; Comamonadaceae
Description: SSU rRNA
Rfam family: Bacterial small subunit ribosomal RNA
Source: RNAcentral